Galeopterus variegatus (Sunda flying lemur) is the source of this 3660-nucleotide long non-coding RNA. RefSeq lists it as uncharacterized. The record is from RefSeq and is a predicted model, not a curated record. Lineage: Eukaryota; Metazoa; Chordata; Mammalia; Dermoptera; Cynocephalidae. The transcript has 3 exons.
GACUUGUGUGAGGAGACAGGCGGAGGAGCCCUGUUUCCUCACUUGCAGACAGUCAGACCACUUCCUUUGGAAAUGGCGAGACUGUGUUUUCAGACUAUUUGCUUAAAGUCCUUACAGGCCAGAAGAUUGGUUACUGCACAUUAAGGUGCUGAGAUAGAUUGAUGAAGACAGAGAAGAUCUUGGCUGUCAUUAAGCUAACAUUCUAAAUGGGAAAAUAGAGAAUAAACACAAAGAAAGAAACAGGAUCACUUCAAAUAGAAGUUCUAUAAGAAAUACAAAAGAGGGUGUGGGAUAGAGUUGAGGGGGGCUGUGUACACGGAAGGCCUGGGAAAGUGAUACUUGAAAUGAAACUUGAUUUGCGGAAUGGAGCCAGCUGUGGGAGACCUGAGGACCAAGGUUUUCGGGAGGGAAUGGCCAGGGCAGGGGCCCUACGGCAGGAAUGAGCGUGGCCUCCUGGAGGCGCAGAAUGAACCAUUACUGGGUGUCCACUGCUUGGGGGUUUGGAAGCUAACCAUGCUCAUCUCACUGUAACAAUGCUGGUGACACAGCUCACUGGCAUCAUGACUCACCUCGAGCCUGCUGACUGGGCUGCGUGCUGCACGAUGUGAAUUUUCCCAUCAUCUGCUUCAGGCUGUCAGAACCCAGGAAUGGACCGCUGGGGGAUGGUCUGUGCACUGAACUCUCUGAUCAGAGUGACUGAUCUCCUUCUGUCCUUUCCCUUCAAGAAUGGAUCCAUCAUUUUCAGCCACAGCACCUCGGCUCCCCAGGGGACUGGCUUUCGCCUGAGCUGUCAGGGCUGGCUUCCCAUGGAAUGGGGUCAGCCCAUUCUGGAGGGACUGGCAGAGCAUUCAGCUGGCACACAGCUGCUUCAGGAACAUGUUCCAGUCACCCUGUCAAGUUACAGCUGCUGCAUUUGACGUGUCUAGUGCUUUGGACACCCCCGCAUGGGGAGACCCGUACAGAGAGGAGCCCUCAAGGGCCCUAGGCCAUGGCUCCAAUCCAGCUGUGGCUGGUCAUACCCGACAUCAUUUUCAAGUGAUACUUAUCAGUGAAGCAGUCACAUGAGAUCACAGGGCUAGAAGCUCCCUCAAAGGUCAUCCUGUCCUGCAUUCCUCAUGUGUCUGGCAUUUCCCAGAACUGAAGUGUUGGAAUGCUCCUGCCUCCACUUCAGCAGGUCGACUGCUAACCUUGAUGUCUACCCAGCUCCUGCAGACAACACAGUUCUCUUUUCUCUAACACUUGAACUUGGGGGUGGUGGGAACCACUGUAAUUAUAUCUCUGAGCUGUUAGAUUUUCUGUGUGAUUAAUAGGAUUUUAGGAAUGUGAUUGUUCACCUUAGGAGGAUAAGGUUGCCUGAAAGGGCCCAAACUGCCAUUUAGAAACCCUAGGUUCACUUCUCCCAGACCUGGGACACAAAAGCAGAAAUAUCAAAGUUUGAAGGGACCUUGGUGAUUAAUACCCUUCCUUUGAUAGAUGGAAAAGUAAUAAAAAAAAAAAUAGGAAAAAUUACCUGACCAAGGUUAAUAAUACAAUAAAAGAAGGCUCUUUGGAAUCCACAUGGGUUUUUCAUAGAUGUUUAUGGCAUUUUGCUGUAAUCUUUUGACUUACGUAACAAACAAACAAAAAAAAUAUCAAAGUUCUCUGGGCCUCUAUCUGGUUUUCUGGUUUGACUCUCACCAUCCUAUGUAGUAGUCUUUAUUUCUCUCUUUUUGCAGAUAAGGAAAAUAAGGCCUGGAAAGUUUAUAUCCAUUUAGUUAGUAAGUGGUGAUACUGGAUUAGUUUAAAUCCAAUAUCAUUUCCAAGUCCAUCUCCAUGAUCAUUUUGGGGGGGGGGGUAGGGCACAGCAGAAAUUAGCCAUAACUUAGGUCAUGCAGUACAUGCAGGAACUCUGAAAAAUCUCUACUCUAUUCCUGAAAUAGGUAUUCCAGGGUGUUACAAACUCUGAAUAAAGGAUUCUGAUUUUUAGCGAAACACCCUCACCUUCAUUGUAGCUGAUGCAGGGGCCCCAUGGCUCCUAACAUAACUUGGUGCUGUCAUCUUCAAAGCUGCCUCCACUUAUGUUAAAUAUCACCUCCUGGACAUAAGUGUGGCACUUAAAAGCCCAAGCUGUUAAAAUCAGCUGGGUAGUCUGAACCCUGGUUCCACUAUUUACUCUGGGCAACCUGAGGUAUAUUCCUUAAACUUCCUGUGUCUCAGUGUCUUUAUCCAUAAAAUGGGGCUAGUAAUAAUACGCUCCUGAGAAGGGCUGAAAACUAAAUGAGGCAAAAUGAGCACUUAGAGGAGUAAGUGCUCAAUAAAUGUUAGUUGUUGCUGUAUUUGCUCAUGAUACAACUGAAGGAAUUCUGUCAUGGAUCUGAGUUUUCCCCUGAGUACAAAAAGAAUAUGUUCCUAGUUCAUGACAUCGGGUGGACAUGCCAAGGUGAGAAGGAACCAAAAGAUACAGUCAUGUGCAGUUUACUUUUAGCUCCAGAGAAUGGUCUGUUCCCAGCCCUAUGCUGCAAGGGCUGUCUUCGUUUUCUGCCAGCAUCACCCCCUCCAACAGCAGAAAGCUUUAGGUCACUCACCUGAAAAGUUAAAGCUGACCUAGAGAUUAUGAUUAUGUAUAUUGUCUAAAAGAAAAAACAGAAGUAAAAGCCUCUUAUGUAACUUGAAGAGUGUGAAGGAGCCAGCGAUAAAAACCACUGCCCUGAACUUUUCCAAAGUACUAUAAAUCUCCCUGCAUCAAGAUUCUCCAGUUGUCAAGGUAUCGUUUGUAUUUUUGUCUUAAGAUAGACUAGAAAAAAAAGGUAACAACCCCCUGCCUGUUAGAUUGUGUAUUUGUGAUUAAAGGCUAUGAAGAUGGUACUAUUUGAAGUUAUUCCCAUCAUCUAAAACACACCCCAUGCUUGACUGAUGGUUUCUCAGCAAUAUUCUGACUUUAAUUUGAUCACUUCCUAUGAAUUAGUCUGUGGUUCCUCAUUCAAAGUCGGUUCUCUCUUCCUCCCCUUUUCUUUUCUGUUUCUCUCUCUAUAUUUUUUUUUCAUUUUUUUCCACAUAUUUAGAUCAUCUCUACUGACCUUUCAGUGGCUUAGCAUUUUGUGGCAAUGCACGAGUGAAGUUGGAAAACAGAAAAAUAGAGCCAAGUGACAAGCUGUGAAAUAACAGCUCAGCCUUCACAGAGCAAAUGUGCUUUGUGCUAUUUCUGGCCAGAGCAGAUGUGGCCUUGGUGGACAGCCUGUGGGGAACAAUAUUUCUCAGGGAAAAAUAAAUCAGUAACAUUAGGACCAAAAUGAUGCAAAUCCUUCAAUUUGCAAACAGAUCAUGAAGUGGGAGCCAGGUGGAAAGAACAUGGACUGGCGAUCAGACAGGAUCCUGCCCUGGGUUUAGUCCAGCAUAUUCCACCAUGAUUAGUUGACCUCCGUCCCCCACCUUCUGGACCUCCACUCCCAGUCCUAAAACAGGGAUGGACAACUCGCUACAGCACAGCAGUGGCAUGCCAGAGGGCUAACGGAGGUCAGUUCACAGCAGAGGACCAUUCAGAGAUGAUGGAGAGAUGUGGAUCUGAAGGGGAGCAUUACCUUGUGAGCAUGUAAAUUCCAUCCCGUUAAAAGCAGGAGACAGUAUUUCUUUAUUCUUGCCCCUCAAUUAUCCUUCUUGUUUCCCAGUACAUGAAAGAGACUG